GGUCAGGAUGAACGCUGGCGGCGUGCAUAACACAUUCAAGUCGAACGGAGAUAUUGAAUUAAUCCUUCGGGAAGCGUUUAAAUAACUUAGUGGCGGACGGGUGAGUAACGCGUGAGCAACCUGCCUUGAAGAGGGGGAUAACACAGGGAAACUUGUGCUAAUACCGCAUAACGUACGUGAAUCGCAUGGUUCGUGUACCAAAGCUCCGACGCUUCAAGAUGGGCUCGCGUCUGAUUAGAUAGUUGGCAGGGUAACGGCCUACCAAGUCGACGAUCAGUAGCCGGACUGAGAGGUUGAACGGCCACAUUGGAACUGAGAUACGGUCCAGACUCCUACGGGAGGCAGCAAUGGGGAAUAUUGGGCAAUGGGCGCAAGCCUGACCCAGCGACGCCGCGUGAGGGAAGAAGGUCUUCGGAUUGUAAACCUUAGUCAACAGGGACGAAGCAUGACGGUACCUGUGGAGGAAGCCACGGCUAACUACGUGCCAGCCGCCGC
This 495-nucleotide ribosomal RNA is filed under the name uncultured bacterium. Its description in RNAcentral is "bacterial SSU rRNA". It matches the Rfam family "Bacterial small subunit ribosomal RNA", at positions 22 to 518 of the family's 1533-position model. The record is from RNAcentral.